AGAGUUUGAUCCUGGCUCAGGACGAACGCUGGCGGCGUGCUUAACACAUGCAAGUCGAGCGGAAAGGCCCUUCGGGGUACUCGAGCGGCGAACGGGUGAGUAACACGUGAGCAACCUGCCCCUGGCUCUGGGAUAAGCCUAGGAAACUGGGUCUAAUACCGGAUAUGACCUUCCUCCUCAUGGGGGUUGGUGGAAAGUUUUUUCGGCUGGGGAUGGGCUCGCGGCCUAUCAGCUUGUUGGUGGGGUAGUGGCCUACCAAGGCGACGACGGGUAGCCGGCCUGAGAGGGCGACCGGCCACACCGGGACUGAGACACGGCCCAGACUCCUACGGGAGGCAGCAGUGGGGAAUAUUGCGCAAUGGGCGAAAGCCUGACGCAGCGACGCCGCGUGAGGGAUGAAGGCCUUCGGGUUGUAAACCUCUUUCAGCACCGACGAAGUUCCGGUAUUCGCCGGGGUGACGGUAGGUGCAGAAGAAGCGCCGGCUAACUACGUGCCAGCAGCCGCGGUAAUACGUAGGGCGCAAGCGUUGUCCGGAAUUAUUGGGCGUAAAGAGCUCGUAGGCGGCCUGUCGCGUCCGUCGUGAAAGCCCGGGGCUUAACUCCGGGUCUGCGGUGGAUACGGGCAGGCUAGAGGCAGGUAGGGGAGAAUGGAAUUCCCGGUGUAGCGGUGAAAUGCGCAGAUAUCGGGAGGAACACCGGUGGCGAAGGCGGUUCUCUGGGCCUGUACUGACGCUGAGGAGCGAAAGCGUGGGGAGCGAACAGGAUUAGAUACCCUAGUAGUCC
Molecule: ribosomal RNA, 783 nt
Filed under: uncultured bacterium
Lineage: Bacteria
Description: bacterial SSU rRNA
Rfam family: Bacterial small subunit ribosomal RNA
Source: RNAcentral